GAACAAGAAGCUGGCGACUAGGAAGCCGACAACCAGCCUCGUCUUAGCCUAGCGGUCUACUUGACUAACCUAGCUGGCUAACUCGCCAGCUCGACUUAAACGUGGGUGUUUAUUAGUUUUCACUCGCGCAAAAAAACAACUUUUUAUAAAUGAGACAAAAGUAUUAAAUGUAGCUUUAUCCAUUUGGAGAAGCGCAAACGGGUUCUGGGCAGCAGGAGGCGGGGCUUUACUGCUAGAGCGGGAUGAUUGAUGGGCGAGCGGAGCAGCUCAUUGGCUGUUCGCGCUCUCUGACGUCAUUGCCCAACACGAGGCGCCGAUUUAAGCCCCUACGAUUCGAGGGAAAAAGACGUCACAGACGUCCCUCAGGAAGGAAGGCUGAUCCCACUGCAGGGUAAUAUGAAUCCAGAUGAUAUUACACAGCUUGGUAUUCAAGGUUAAAGCAAGACUGGCUUAGUCUACAGUUACUCUGUAUUUCUGUUUAAUCGUUUAUUAUGUGUGCCUUGCUGGUGAUGCAAUAAAGUCCUGAUUGGCUGAUCAGCAGUGAUAAAGGGUCCUACUGGAUGUGGACCGAGAUGAACCCCCAAUUUAUUCGCUUAAUAAAAAAUGAAACGUGACUUGUGCGCUGCUACUGUUUCAGUUCUCACACUUCUAACCACUCACCGUGGACAAAUCAACAGGUUUAGAUUUGGAGUGGUGGUAUUUUAUUCACUAUCCUAAACCAGCAGUGAACCUACACAAGUC
Molecule: long non-coding RNA, 741 nt
Organism: Pygocentrus nattereri (red-bellied piranha)
Lineage: Eukaryota; Metazoa; Chordata; Actinopteri; Characiformes; Serrasalmidae
Source: Ensembl